This 253-nucleotide ribosomal RNA is filed under the name uncultured bacterium. RNAcentral's name for it is "partial 16S ribosomal RNA". It matches the Rfam family "Bacterial small subunit ribosomal RNA", at positions 524 to 776 of the family's 1533-position model. The record is from RNAcentral.
UACGUAGGGUGCGAGCGUUAAUCGGAAUUACUGGGCGUAAAGUGUGCGCAGGCGGCCGCGCAAGUCGAGUGUGAAAGCCCCGAGCUUAACUUGGGAAUUGCGCUCGAAACUACGUGGCUGGAGUGUGGCAGAGGAAGGUGGAAUUCCACGUGUAGCGGUGAAAUGCGUAGAUAUCGAGAGGAACACCUGCGGCGAAGGCGGGUUGCUGGGCUGACACUGACGCUGAAGCGCGAAAGCUAGGGGAGCGAACGGG